CUCCAUCUUUCUUUUCCUCUUCUGACUAUUUCCUCAGCUCUCGUGUGAGCCUUUUGCCUGAUGUCUGUGUUGACUCAAGAUUAGUUUCAAUGAAAGAGUACAUCAACAGGUUUACUCUGAGUGCAGUCUCACAUCCGCCCGUCGGCCCAUGCUGUCACAGUGAGCAAAAAAAACAAAACAAUGCACUUUUUAUUUACUGUACAAUUUGGUGCUUCUGUUUGGAUAAAGGCCCUUGAGGAUGAAUAGAGGCCGGUCUAGCCCGUUGAUGACUCCUGCAAACACAAAUCCCCGAUGGCUGCCGUCGGAGCUGCUUCUGUUCAUCUGGAUCCCAGAAAGCCCAAGAGGCUGACCCCCCAACACUUCCUCUCUCCUGGGUUCUAACCCCAUCCUUCAUCUCUUUUUUCUUGUAAUAAUGUAAUGGUUAAUCUGGAAGCAAUAAGGAAUUAAAUGCUGGUGUUUUUGCUCCA
Molecule: long non-coding RNA, 467 nt
Organism: Oncorhynchus kisutch (coho salmon)
Lineage: Eukaryota; Metazoa; Chordata; Actinopteri; Salmoniformes; Salmonidae
Exons: 3
Source: RefSeq, a predicted model, not a curated record